Molecule: long non-coding RNA, 2725 nt
Organism: Passer domesticus (house sparrow)
Lineage: Eukaryota; Metazoa; Chordata; Aves; Passeriformes; Passeridae
Exons: 4
Source: RefSeq, a predicted model, not a curated record
CGUGAGGAGGGUGUGAGGCAGGAGCAGGGCAUCAGCAGAACUUCCUGCCAGCACCACUCCAAGGCAAGGGAGCCUCCUCUCAAGAGCUGUGGCCAAGUGGCCGAGGACACUCACAAGACCUCUGGCCAAACCGCCAAGCAUUUUCACAAGACCUCUGGCCAAGUGACUCAGGCUCCUCAGGAAUCUCACGUUAUGAGCACACACAGCUCUCUGAAGCCUCUUGUGCACACCAAGGAGGCCUUGCCCAGGAAGACAGUGGGUAUCAAAAGGCCCAGCAAGCCCCUGGUGCAUGACAAAUGGAAAAAAGUCCUGAAACUGGAGAGUGAGCCUGGUCCUUUGGAGGUCAGAGACCAGUCUUGCAAGCGCCAGCCCCGAGUCAAGAAAACAGAGGAGCCAAAAUCCACCACUAAAAAAGCCCUGCAGCCGGCACUUCACAAGCCCUCUGAGGAGAGAAAGGACAAGGGCUCCCAGCAGACCAAGGCCAAAGGCUUUUUGGAUGCCAGGCUCCUGAGACAUGCUCAGGAAUGUGAUGCCCUCAUCCCCAGUAGCCACAGGCCUGGGGAAUGGCACAGGGAGAAAGUGCCCUUGCCUCCUGGGGAGAAGAAGUUGUUCUUGCCUUCAAGGAAGGCAGACUUGAUGAGGAAAGCCAUGAGGAGUCCUGAGGAGUCCCCUGGAAAGAAGAAAGUGAGAGGGGCCAGGGCAAGUGGGUUUGGACAAUGAGCAAGAUGGUGCUUGAAAAACCCAUGUGGAGUUUCCCCUUCAUAGGUUGGCAGUGGAGCCAUGAUGCUUCUCUUCUCAAAGGAGUUCCAGUGUGUUAUUUUUAAUGUUUUCAGCCAGAAUCUAUCAAAGUGAGCUGUAUUGGUCUGUACUUUAGGUGAACUUCUAAGACCUGAGUCAAUUUUUUCCCUUUUUUUAUUCUUCCUACUAGAAGGAAGACAAAGGGGACACUCCCAGGAAGAAAAAGGAAUGAGACAAAACAUUCCCAACCAAAUACUUUCAGCUUCCAGCCAACAAAGGCUCCAAUCAAGUGAAAGCCUCAGAAGACUCAUUCCAAACUGAGAGGGCAAAUGUGUUGCUGCCACCACUGCCAGCCAUGACUGCUGCACAACUGGAAGCAAAGUUCACCAUGACCAUGCAAAAGAGACCCAGAGCUGUGACUGACAACCUGGAGCUGCCUGCCGUGGAUAACCCUGCGAGGAAGCAGGAUGGAUUCUUAGCCAAGCACAGGAAAGUGGAGGAAGACCCCGAGGAGCAAACCCAGGCCAUCACCAUUGGUAUCCAGGAGGGCUGGUGGGAGUAUUCCUGCAACCCAGGCGUGCUGUGUGAUGCACUGCAGAAACAUCCUCUCAGAUAAGUCACCAUUUCUGACUGUAGGCAACUGCAACGUAAAUGAGUGUGUGUACAAAAAGGAGUGUGUUUAUAAAAAGAAAAGGACUGCAGCCUGGGCCUUCGAUUUUAUAUCAUGUAGAGAAAAUUAUUGCAUUUAUAGGUUAAAAAUUAGAUUUUCCUGGCUGUUUAUAAAAAAUUUGGCAGUUUAAUGAUGGCUCGGGGUGUGGGGUCUAUGAUAUUUGGGGGUGAGGGAGUAUGUGUCAGUGUUCUAUCUUAGGCCAGACUGUGCACAGUGCAUUAGCUGCCUUCUAACUGCUUGCUUUUUCCUGAUCAUUUUCCUGCUUCCAGCCCUCACUGCACUCCCAGCUAUUGAGCAAGAAAAUCUGCUGCUGAAUUUCUCUGUGCUUGGGAAAAGUUGAAUGGUGCAAAGCAUUGUGAGCUGCCAGGGAUCUGCAGGGCAUGAGAAGAAUCCUUUUCCAGUGCCUUCUGUGCCACAUGAAGCCAAGACAAGAAGACCUGAAGUUAGGACAAGUUUGCUGCUGAACAAAGCCAAGUGAGGGGACCAAGAGCCGGCCUGACCUCACAUAGAGAAUGAUUCAGAACUUUCAGUGACCAAGUGCCUUAACUGGGUCUCCAGGAUGUAAAUAGUUCCAAGUUCUCUAGUCUAUGGAAACCUUACAAACACUUUUGUUUUAUUUACUGUUCAAUGCAAAACACCUGAUUUUUUUUGUUUGUUUGUUUGUUUUGUUUUGUUUUAAAUACAGUUUUAUGUUCUUUUGGUUACUUUUGGACAUCCUUGUGGUUUUUGAGGGUAAUGUUUUUCUAUCUUGCAAAAGAAGAGAUGGGCUGUGGUAUCAGCCAUUAAGAUAAAACUGUGGAGAGAAGGAUGGUGUAAUAUUCACUAUUAAAAAACUGGUGGUUAAGGAAAUAAAAUAAAAAACCCCACAGCAUUAUGUGUACUAAAACCAGUGGCCAAAAAGGCAGUGAUCAGACAAAAUGAUAGAGAUUCAAACAGGAAGGCAGCUGUCCCCAGAAAUGUCAUACCAGGGGAUUUCUCUCCUCUGACAGGAGGCAUUUUGGUAAUCAUCACCAGCAACCACAAAUAAAGUGAUAGAAAUUCAAACAUCAGGGAGACACUGUCUCCAGAGACAUAUAUUCCAGUGUAUAUUCCAAGAGAUUUUUCCUUUGACCAGAUUCCAGCAGGAGGUAUAUUGAUAAGCAUCAUCAGAAGUUUUCCCCAGAAAGCCUUUUACCUCACAGCAUUCCAGGAAUUAUCCACCAGUUCCAGAAACCGUGAUAAUAUGCUAAAGAAGAAACCCUUCCAGGGCACAAAGAACUGUAUAAAAGGGACCCUCUGAGAAAUGCUCUUUGGAAACCCAUGGGACUUUGGUGCAAA